GAUUUCCUGAGUAGCGGCGAGCGAAACGGAAUUAGCCCAAACCAAGAGGCUUGCCUCUUGGGGUUGUAGGACACUCUAUACGGAGUUACAAAGGAACGAAGUAAAUGAAGCGACCUGGAAAGGUCCGUCGAAGAAGGUAACAACCCUGUAGUUGAAACUUCGUUCCCUCUUGAGUGGAUCCUGAGUACGGCGGAACACGUGAAAUUCCGUCGGAAGCUGGGAGGACCAUCUCCCAAGGCUAAAUACUACCUAGUGACCGAUAGUGAACCAGUACCGUGAGGGAAAGGUGAAAAGCACCCCGGAAGGGGAGUGAAAGAGAUCCUGAAACCGUGUGCCUACAAGUAGUCAGAGCCCGUUAACGGGUGAUGGCGUGCCUUUUGUAGAAUGAACCGGCGAGUUACGAUCCCAUGCAAGGUUAAGCUGAUAAGGCGGAGCCGUAGCGAAAGCGAGUCUGAAUAGGGCGUUUAGUAUGUGGUUGUAGACCCCAUACCAGGUGAUCUACCCAUGUCCAGGGUGAAGUUCAGGUAACAUUUAAUGGAGGCCUUAACCCACCCACGUUGAAAAGUGCGGGGAUUACGUGUGGGUAGCGCACAAA
This 595-nucleotide ribosomal RNA is filed under the name Bacillus sp. (in: firmicutes). RNAcentral describes it as "bacterial LSU rRNA". It matches the Rfam family "Bacterial large subunit ribosomal RNA", at positions 233 to 826 of the family's 2925-position model. The record is from RNAcentral. Lineage: Bacteria; Bacillati; Bacillota; Bacilli; Caryophanales; Bacillaceae.